AGGUAGAAUGGCCGAGAGCAUAGGCGGCGGGCUGUAAUCCCGUUUAGGGGAGUUAGAAUCUUUCUUU
This 67-nucleotide transfer RNA is filed under the name Stenocercus doellojuradoi. RNAcentral describes it as "tRNA-Tyr". It matches the Rfam family "tRNA". From Rfam's summary of the family: Transfer RNA (tRNA) molecules are approximately 80 nucleotides in length. Their secondary structure includes four short double-helical elements and three loops (D, anti-codon, and T loops). Further hydrogen bonds mediate the characteristic L-shaped molecular structure. tRNAs have two regions of fundamental functional importance: the anti-codon, which is responsible for specific mRNA codon recognition, and the 3' end, to which the tRNAs corresponding amino acid is attached (by aminoacyl-tRNA synthetases). tRNAs cope with the degeneracy of the genetic code in two manners: having more than one tRNA (with a specific anti-codon) for a particular amino acid; and 'wobble' base-pairing, i.e. permitting non-standard base-pairing at the 3rd anti-codon position. Lineage: Eukaryota; Metazoa; Chordata; Lepidosauria; Squamata; Tropiduridae. The record is from RNAcentral.